RNAcentral lists this ribosomal RNA (1023 nucleotides) under uncultured Prevotella sp. Its description in RNAcentral is "partial 16S ribosomal RNA". The stretch from base 1 to 880 matches the Rfam family "Bacterial small subunit ribosomal RNA". The record is from RNAcentral. Lineage: Bacteria; Pseudomonadati; Bacteroidota; Bacteroidia; Bacteroidales; Prevotellaceae.
GACGAACGCUGGCGGCGUGCUUAACACAUGCAAGUCGAACGAUGAAGCGCUGUCUUUUUGGUGGUGUGGAUUAGUGGCGAACGGGUGAGUAAUACGCGGGCAACCUGCGCCUCUGCUUCGGGAUAAGCUUUGGAAACGGGGUCUAAUACCGGAUGUGCCUGUCUGGUCGCAUGUCUGGGGGGGAAAGAUGUUUUUCGGCGGGGGAUGGGCUCGCGGGCUAUCAGCUUGUGGGGGGGGGGACGGCCUACCAAGAGGUCGACGCGUAGCCGGCCUGAGAGAGGGGUCGGCACACUAGGACUGAGAUACGGCGCAGACUCUUACGGGAGGGAGCAGUGGGGGGAUAUUGCACAAUGUGCGCAAAGCCUUAUCCAGCGACCCCCCCGGGGGGGGAUAGAGGGGUUUUUGGGGUUUAAACCCCCUUUCGGGGCGGGAAAAGGGUUCCGUUUGGGGGGGGUUGAGGGUACCCGUCAAAAAAAGCGCCGGGUAAACUACGUGCCAAGCGCCCCGGAAAUACGAAGGGGUGCGAGCGUUUAAUCGGAAAUUUCUUGGGGCGAAAGGGGGGCCCGGGGGGGUUAUGUAAGAACAGUUGUGAAAACCCCCGGGCUCAACCCGGGAACCCGCAUCUUUGACUGCAUAGCUAGAGAACGGGAGAAGGGGGGUGGAAAUUCCCCGUUAGCAGUGAAAUGCGUAGAUAUGCGGAGGAACACCGAUUGCGAAGGAAUCUCCCUGGCCCUGUACUGACCCUCAUGCACGAAGCGUGGGGAGGAAAAAGGAUUGAUACCCUGGUAGUUCCAAAGGCGAAUUCCACAUGGGGUUGAGCCCCGGGGGAUCUCCUAUGUUUUAGAGGGGCCGCCCCCCGGAACCCCCAAUCCCCCCUUUAGGGGGUCGUUUAAGGGGGGUCCACUGGGCGCAGUUUCAAACGUCCUGGCUUGGAAAACCCUUGGGUUCCAUGAUUAAAACCCCUUUACGACCAAUCCCCUUUUGCGAGUGUGUAAGUACGGAAGAGCCCCCCUGAUAAUUGUG